Molecule: ribosomal RNA, 786 nt
Filed under: Thermothelomyces thermophilus
Lineage: Eukaryota; Fungi; Ascomycota; Sordariomycetes; Sordariales; Chaetomiaceae
Description: eukaryotic LSU rRNA
Rfam family: 5.8S ribosomal RNA (bases 270-423)
Source: RNAcentral
AACGACCACUCAGGGCCGGAAAGUUAUCCAAACUCGGUCAUUUAGAGGAAGUAAAAGUCGUAACAAGGUCUCCGUUGGUGAACCAGCGGAGGGAUCAUUACAGAGCUGCAAAACUCCCUAAACCAUCGUGAACGCUACCUAGACCGUUGCUUCGGCGGGCGGCGCCCUCGCGCGCCCCCCCUGGGGCCCGCACCGCGGGCGCCCGCCGGAGUACACCAAACUCUUGAUAUGUUAUGGCCACUCUGAGUCUCCUGUACUGAAUAAGUCAAAACUUUCAACAACGGAUCUCUUGGUUCUGGCAUCGAUGAAGAACGCAGCGAAAUGCGAUAAGUAAUGUGAAUUGCAGAAUUCAGUGAAUCAUCGAAUCUUUGAACGCACAUUGCGCCCGCCAGCAUCCUGGCGGGCAUGCCUGUUCGAGCGUCAUUUCAACCCAUCAAGCCCACGGCUUGUGUUGGGGACCUGCGGCUGCCCGCAGCCCUGAAAACCAGUGGCGGGCUCGCUAGUCACACCGGGCGUAGUAGCAUACGACCUCGCUCAGGCGUGCUGCGGGUUCCAGCCGUAAAACGACCUUCACAACCCAAGGUUGACCUCGGAUCAGUAGGAGGACCCGCUGAACUUAAGCAUAUCAAUAAGCGGAGGAAAAGAAACCAACAGGGAUUGCCCUAGUAACGGCGAGUGAAGCGGCAACAGCUCAAAUUUGAAAUCUGGCUUCGGCCCGAGUUGUAAUUUGCAGAGGAAGCUUUAGGCGCGGCACCUUCUGAGUCCCCUGGAACGGGGCGCCAUAGA